UGGGGAAUCUUGGACAAUGGGCGCAAGCCUGAUCCAGCCAUGCCGCGUGAGUGAAGAAGGCCUUCGGGUUGUAAAGCUCUUUUACCAGGGACGAUAAUGACGGUACCUGGAAAAUAAGCCCCGGCAAACUUCGUGCCAGCAGCCGCGGUAAUACGAAGGGGACUAGCGUUGUUCGGAAUCACUGGGCGUAAAGCGCACGUAGGCGGAUUUGUAAGUCAGGGGUGAAAUCCCGGGGCUCAACCUCGGAACUGCCUUUGAUACUGCGGAUCUCGAGUCCGAUAGAGGUGAGUGGAAUUCCUAGUGUAGAGGUGAAAUUCGUAGAUAUUCGCAGGAACACCAGUGGCGAAGGCGACUUGCUGGACUUGUAGUGACGCUGAGACGCGAAAGCGUGGGGAGCAAACAGGAUUAGAUACCCACGUAGUCCCUGAGCGGGCUGGCAAGGCGCAU
This 447-nucleotide ribosomal RNA is filed under the name uncultured bacterium. Its description in RNAcentral is "bacterial SSU rRNA". It matches the Rfam family "Bacterial small subunit ribosomal RNA", at positions 355 to 825 of the family's 1533-position model. The record is from RNAcentral.